CCCUUAGAUGUUCUGGGCUGCACGCGCGCUACACUGAUGCGCUCAACGAGUUUUAACCUUGCCUGGAAAGGUUGGGUAAUCUUUUUAAAACGCAUCGUGAUGGGGAUAGAUUAUUGCAAUUAUUAAUCUUCAACGAGGAAUUCCUAGUAAGCGCGAGUCAUCAGCUCGUGCUGAUUACGUCCCUGCCCUUUGUACACACCGCCCGUCGCUCCUACCGAUUGAAUGAUCCGAUGAAUAUCAUGGAUUGAGGAUGCAAGCAGGUUCGCCUGUCUUCAUCUUCGAGAAGUGAAGUAAAUCUUAUCAUUUAGAGGAAGGAGAAGUCGUAACA
Molecule: ribosomal RNA, 328 nt
Filed under: uncultured eukaryote
Lineage: Eukaryota
Description: partial 18S ribosomal RNA
Rfam family: Eukaryotic small subunit ribosomal RNA
Source: RNAcentral